UACGAAGGGUGCAAGCGUUACUCGGAAUUACUGGGCGUAAAGCGUGCGUAGGUGGUUCGUUAAGUCUGUCGUGAAAGCCCCGGGCUCAACCUGGGAAUGGCGAUGGAUACUGGCGAGCUAGAGUGCGGUAGAGGAGGGUGGAAUUCCCGGUGUAGCAGUGAAAUGCGUAGAGAUCGGGAGGAACAUCAGUUGCGAAGGCGGCUCUCUGGACCAGCACUGACACUGAGGCACGAAAGCGUGGGGAGCAAACAGG
This 253-nucleotide ribosomal RNA is filed under the name uncultured bacterium. Its description in RNAcentral is "partial 16S ribosomal RNA". It matches the Rfam family "Bacterial small subunit ribosomal RNA", at positions 524 to 776 of the family's 1533-position model. The record is from RNAcentral.